GGACUACCGGGGUAUCUAAUCCCAUUCGCUCCCCUGGCUUUCGUUCCUCAGCGUCAGUUAUGGCCCAGCUAGUCGCCUACGCCACCGGUGUUCUUCCCAAUAUCUACGCAUUUCACCGCUACACUGGGAAUUCCACUAGCCUCUACCACACUCCAGUCCGCCAGUAUCCAAUGCACUCCCAGGGUUGAGCCCCGAUCUUUAACAUCAGACUUAACGAACCGCCUACGAACUCUUUACGCCCAAUAAAUCCGGACAACGCUUGCAUCCUACGUCUUACCGCGGCUGCUGGCAC
This 292-nucleotide ribosomal RNA is filed under the name uncultured bacterium. RNAcentral describes it as "partial 16S ribosomal RNA". The record is from RNAcentral.